This is a long non-coding RNA of Numida meleagris (helmeted guineafowl), 1830 nucleotides long. RefSeq lists it as uncharacterized. The transcript has 6 exons. The record is from RefSeq and is a predicted model, not a curated record. Lineage: Eukaryota; Metazoa; Chordata; Aves; Galliformes; Numididae.
GUUUUAAAAAUUAGAGUGUUUGGCACUUGUAAUUUUCUGCUGUCGUACCAACUUCUGGGAAAAGCGCUGAUUUUAGCAGAACUAACGUGAGGAGGCCUGAGGUUGGCGCUGAAUGUGAAUGUACCCAUUAACCAGGAUCACCUUAGCAAGUCCUAAUGUUCGUUUGAAACCUUUAUGUCUCUUUGCUCAAACAGACAAUGAUGUACCAAUUUUCCUUAAAUGAAAUUAAAUGAUGGCCGGCCAGUUCUCACAGAGCAGCUAUUAUAAAUUUUAUUGUAAGAGCACUAAAGAGAAAGCAUAUGUUGCGGUUUGAGACCGAAGCCAACAGGGUGGAGACUAAACGAGCAAAGCACUUUUAGUCACGAAUACGUCAUUUAAAAAGCGGGACAUCCCCACUGUGCUGCAGAAGCGGCAGCGCAGCCCGGCAGAGGAAGCAGCUUGCAGCGCGGCGGCUCCGCCCCGCCGAAAGAGAAGGCUGAGCAGGGGCAGGAGCGGGGCGGGCGGGUCCGGCUCCCCCUGGCGGCCCCGCCGGGCAGUGCGCGUGCAGCGCCAUCAGCUCCGCGGCGCCAGGGCUCUGCCAGGGGUCGGCAAUACUCGAUUCGGAUUGGCUGCGCGUCCUGUGGUGCCUAACGGUCGCCAACCGCCACCUGUUACGGCCGUCUGCCACCACCUGUUAUCGCACUCCACCCGCCCUUUGGCGAGGUUCUCCGUGCUGUGGCGGCGAUUCACAGGUUAUGGCGGAGUUAUUUGAAGGUUGAUCUGGAUCGUAGGUUAUUUGGAAACACUAGAAGAUCUGGGAACUUACUGAGCUCUCAUUCCUGGGGAACUUAAACUGAGAUUUGAAUCUGAAAAUACUGUUCAAAAAACAUAUGCCUGGACUGCCAGUGGGAGAUUCAAAACCACACUUGACACUAUAGAUGCAAACAACAAGAGAGAGAACUUCAGACAUGCCUCCAAAGUUCAUGUUCGGGUGUAAAUAAAAAAGCCAUAAGAAUAAAUGCACACACCAUUCUGCAAUUUCAGGAAUCUCUGGAGAUGACAUAAACUCAAAUUUAAUGACGUGGAACCUGUUUCAACUGCUAUUUUGACAAGCUGCUGGCCUGCUAUAGCUUAUGCAAGAGUUCUUCAUCUUUCAUGGAGAGUGGAUUAAUUGGCAGCAGAUUUACGUGCCAAUUUUGCAUACUUUCCCAAGUGGAAGUUUCAGGAGAAAAAUUGGAGGAAUCCAUUCUUUGUCUCGCCUUCUUGGCAUCUGUUCUCUGUAAGCUGUAAUAAAGGUAACUUUGAUUCAGGUAUUGAUACUGUGACUAACAUUCUGUAGGGCUUUAUGCCUGUUCUUAGUCUAUAUUAGGGUAUUGAGCUUGUUCUUACUAGUUUGCCGUAUCACUUAGACAUCCCAGUCAAUUGUGGUUAAAUAAACACAUUAUAUUGUAAAACAAUUCAAGAGCAUGCACUUCUGUUUCAUAUAUAGUUUUCUUUAGUGACCCCUACAUAAUUCAUAUAAUCACUUGGAAAUGAAGAGCUAUAGUUGUGAUGUACAUACUCAGAAAAAUAAAAGCAGAACAAAAUUAUCCUACUGGAAUAUGUUUACUACAGAAAUUUUGGGUUCCAUUGUGACAAAGAAGUGCUUAUUCCCUAAUAUAAGCAUCAUCCCCUGCAGAGAGCUUUCCCUUUUGAACUUGUGGGAGUUGACUGAAGCUUUGUUCCAAGUCUCUCUGUUGUACUGACAUUCAGGUUGCCGACAGAAGAACCCUGCAGAUAGCUUUAGGGGAUUUCUGUAUCACUUCAGCUGCAACUGUGAUCAGGUUUUUAAAGUUUUCCUUGAAGAUGAGU